UCAAGAUCAAGUCACCAGAGAAAAUUUUCACAAAUCCAAUCUAAGUUUCAGCAGCAUUUCAAUAACGAGGUAAAAACCUUCCAAGAGUUAAAUUACACAGCACAGCUUCACAUUUCUAUGACCUAUUUAUCUAAGGUAGUUAUUUUAGUGGCACCGUAUAGGCACAAGGACCCCAUUAGAAAGUGCAUCAUAUUAAAUACAUGAUCGAUCUCUCAUGUGUCAUUGCUAUACCAAGUAAAAUCUGUACAAGGUAACAAUAUCAUCAAGAGUGGUAUCCACUCCCUCAAAAGUAAACAUAAAGCAAGCAGCAUUUAAUAUACACAUUUCCAGCAAAAUUUCAGUUAUGUUGAAGAAAAAUGCUCUGUUUAGUUCUCUCUUCUUCAAAACUUCCCAAGAACACUCUUUACAUGACGUUAUGCACCAAAAUGGUUCUACAUAAUGCGCCACCAUAACAAACAAUGUGCUAGAGUGGGAUUUGCAAUAGGGUUGAUCCUCGUUUAUCCUUGCCUCCUUAAAGCUCCAUAAUUCCUUGUUACCCGAGGUUGAGACUUAUUUAAUCUUUUUGCCAAAUCUUCAUCAUCAUCAUCAUCCUUCCACAUAUGCAUUCUUUGAAUUGCUGAGUUGUCCAAUUUCUUUCCCCGCUUUGUGGUUGUGGCUCCUCUUCCUCUUCCACCAGGAGCAGCUCUUUUGCGCCCUUUGCCUCGAACACUUUUACCAUCAUCCUUUAAAAGACACACCAAAUUUGAUUACUAUCUAUGCAGCCAAUAUCAUGUUAGCCCAGUCAACUCAUAGAAAAUGAAGUCAGAUUUUCUACUAACUGGCCAAUAAUGUAAUAGAUAAUAAAAGUAAUCCAAAUUGAAGGUUUUCCCUAAAUAAGGUCUCACUCUUAACCAGUAAACUUAUGCCACAGGUAAAGGGUUAACAAAAACAGGUGCAUGCAUGUGCAUGUCAAUGGGUAACUUGCCAUAGCCAAGACUUCAAUUCAGAGGUACUAUAAUUCGCAGAUGCUCUUCCUUUUUCAGGACCAAUCUAUGUUCUUUCUUUUAUCAGAAAGGUGUAUUUCUUGAUGACAUCCGGUUUUAUAUUUCACACUACCACCAGUAUCAUAUCUUCACGGCAAUAGCCAAUAACCUACCUUAAACUGAAUUAUUGAAUAGAAAAAUGAAGAACCCCAAAAGUGGUAUGUUGCAAAAAUUAUGGAAUAGAAGUCCAUACCGAACUAUCGUCAACCUCAUUGAUUUUAUUAUUCUCAGCAUCUUCACUAGAAGCAGAAUCUACAUUUUCCACCUCAUCAGCAACACUUCUAACUGCAGCUGUUGCAGCAACCGAGACUGAUCUUUGAGAUUGGCGAAACCCAAGAGUUGCAUCAAGAGUUGUUUGCUUCAAGUUACUUGAGCCUCUGCCUCUGCCCCUACCUCUUCCUCUUGAAGCUCUACCUUUACCAGCUUCUGAAGCAUCAUGAGAAGGCCUAGAAACUACUUUUGAACCUUUCUGGUUUCUACCCGAGGCCCUUGAACCAGAUAUCUGUCCUGUGUCUUCCUCAUCACUGAAAGAAACUGCACUUCCAAUUCCUGCAGCACUUGUGCUUUUGAUAUGCUCUGUGGGCUGUGCACUAGAUGUGAAUUGUGGAGCAUCCUUAGAGAGCAUAGACCUUUCCUUGACACGUUCCUCCAAACAAUCUCCAACUUUGAGAAUUAUAUCCUCCUCUUCAAACUUUGUGGUAUCUGAAUCCUUUGCAAUUUUAUUACGUGUUUCUUGAAUAUUGUAUUGCACACAAGAAUAGAAUGCCAUUUUGUCAUCUUUAUUAAUAAAAUUGUGCAGUGCAACAUCCAAAUCACUGACUGGAAGAAUUUCCAUUUUCAGGUUGCUUUCAGCGACCAAAGCUUCUAUAUUUUGCUGAUUUAGCUCUUCUGGGCGAAGACGUUCAGAAUCGUCAAUUUUAGCUUGGCCCUGACACUUCCUAGAAGCCUUUGAGAAUAUAAGAAUAUCUUGAGGAUUUGCAACCUUCCCCACAUACUUCUGUCCAAAUCGUUGAGGAUUUAUUGUCAUAAAUCCAGAGUAAUCUACCUUUAGUCGAACUAAUGGAAGCUUAAGCUCUGAUCUGGUAACUGCCUUGCUAUUAGAUUUCUCUAUCAGAUUACUGACCACUUUAUCCAAAUGUUCAAGAAUUGAGCUCUGAUCAUUGGGAUCAAUGUCAGGUUCAUCCUUUAACACAACCUCUGCAUAUUCAAAAGGUCUCACUGAAGUCAAAGGUAUCUUGGUUGGGCGAUAUUGAUUUCCCUUAAUUUCUAGAAGCAGCACAUGCUUUGGUUUUGAUUCUCCAUCAAUUAGUGAUGUUGCAACUGAAGAACCAGGUUGAGUGAUAUGAAAUCCCAUCCCAGGAAUUUCCUGCGGAUCAAUAAGACAUUCAUGCUCAUGUCCCCACACUAUGAAGUCCAGGAAUCUUGGUAGAAAAUGCUCAUUUAUUGCAUUCUUUGGAUUUGUCUUCACUCUGCAGAUUACAAUAGGAGAAAAAAUUUGAAAUUCACAUACAUUAAUAUAUUAAGAUAUAACUACAAGAGUAUGUUAAUGUGAAAAGACACCAGGUUAGAUGAUUUCUCAAAUUUCUCUCUUUCAUUUUCAAGCAAGAUUCAAUGCAAUCUUUGAAAUAAAAGUGGCAAAACAUAUGCAAACAGACUCUCACUCAUACAAACACAUACUACCGCUAACACAACCUGUUCUGAUGAAGCACCAGAAUGUUGAACCAAUCAGACAGUUGACACCCUUCUUGAGAUUCAGGUCUCAUCCAUUGCACAGCAUGUGGUGUCUGAAACAUUCUGUUGAGUCGCUCAUCCCUAAUAUUCCCAAGACCAUACAGAGCCACAGCUGUUGAACCCUUCCUAAUAAGGAUAGGGUAGAGUGUGAUCUGACCAACACCGGAACCCUCAAGAACCAUUUUGCCAAAAUAGUUCACAAGAUUGCAUGCUGAAAGAAUAUCAACUGCUGAAAGGUUGUCCACUCCAGCAGGAUCAUCAUGAUUUCCAUGGAUGCUGAACACUGGCAAACCAACAUUGAAGUGGGGGUCUUCAUAAUUUACAUGGCCAAAUGUAUUUGCAAAAUUUACAGUCUGGUCACUAACAACUUGAAACUGCACUGGUCUAUCAUUGAGACAAUGACAGCGGAGAAUCUCAAUGGCCUUGACUAAGGUUGACCUUGAGGGCUUAUUUUCAUGGAAAAGAUCACCACCAAGGAGCAAGAAGUCCACCUGCUUUUGCUCUGCUAUUGAGCAUAUCUCUUCGAAUGCCUGGAAAGAAUCAUGUCGUCGUAUUUCAUCCUUCUCCAUAUAGCCCAGGUGGCAAUCAGUUGCAACAAGUAUCCGAAGUGUAUUUGUAAUAUCCUCCCUUGGAGUGUCUACCAUGAUAGCGAAAUUGCAACUCUUCAAAUCCUCAACCAGGAGCAAGCAAAAGCGCAGCAAUGCAAAGUUAAAAAUCAAAAUUACACACUUUCAGAUUGUGGAAUUGGAGAGAAGAGUACGUUUUCCACCGUAGGAAGCACGAGGUCAAAAGCAAAGAGAGAGGAGACUCUGAGUGAAGAGGGAAGGGGUUUCAGGUGGCGGGCAAUUUCAAAGAGCCAGGAACUGGGAAGCUAAAAUGGGGGAAAAUGGGAUUUUUCAUGGGGUGGC
This 3661-nucleotide unclassified non-coding RNA is filed under the name Hevea brasiliensis (rubber tree). The record is from RNAcentral. Lineage: Eukaryota; Viridiplantae; Streptophyta; Magnoliopsida; Malpighiales; Euphorbiaceae.